AGACGUCUACAUUAGACUACCCCCGUAGUCCCAGCCGUAAACUAUGCGCGUUAGGUGUAUCGGUGACCACGAGUUACCGAGGUGCCGAAGGGAAACCGUGAAACGUGCCGCCUGGGAAGUACGGUCGCAAGGCUGAAACUUAAAGGAAUUGGCGGGGGAGCACAACAACGGGUGGAGCCUGCGGUUUAAUUGGACUCAACGCCGGACAACUCACCGGGGACGACAGCAAUAUGUAGGCCAGGCUGAAGACCUUGCCUGAAUCGCUG
RNAcentral lists this ribosomal RNA (266 nucleotides) under uncultured archaeon. RNAcentral describes it as "partial 16S ribosomal RNA". It matches the Rfam family "Archaeal small subunit ribosomal RNA", at positions 715 to 982 of the family's 1478-position model. The record is from RNAcentral.